UCGAGAAUUUUUCACAAUGGGCGCAAGCCUGAUGGAGCGACGCCGCGUGGGGGAUGAAUGGCUUCGGCCCGUAAACCCCUGUCAUUUGCGAUCAAACCUUAUUAUUUAAAAGAUGAUAAGUUGAUAGUAGCGAAAGAGGAAGGGACGGCUAACUCUGUGCCAGCAGCCGCGGUAAUACAGAGGUCCCAAGCGUUGUUCGGAUUCACUGGGCGUAAAGGGUGCGUAGGUGGUGGGGUAAGUCGGAUGUGAAAGCUCGGAGCUCAACUCCGAAAUGGCAUUGGAAACUACCCUGCUAGAGGAUUGGAGGGGGGACUGGAAUACUUGGUGUAGCAGUGAAAUGCGUAGAUAUCAAGUGGAACACCAGUGGCGAAGGCGAGUCCCUGGACAAUACCUGACACUGAGGCACGAAAGCUAGGGGAGCAAACAGG
RNAcentral lists this ribosomal RNA (428 nucleotides) under uncultured Verrucomicrobiota bacterium. Its description in RNAcentral is "bacterial SSU rRNA". It matches the Rfam family "Bacterial small subunit ribosomal RNA", at positions 355 to 776 of the family's 1533-position model. Lineage: Bacteria; Pseudomonadati; Verrucomicrobiota. The record is from RNAcentral.